Molecule: ribosomal RNA, 483 nt
Filed under: uncultured bacterium
Lineage: Bacteria
Description: partial 16S ribosomal RNA
Rfam family: Bacterial small subunit ribosomal RNA
Source: RNAcentral
UUGAACGCUGGCGGCAGGCCUAACACAUGCAAGUCGCGCGGAUGAAGGGAGCUUGCUCCUGGAUUCAGCGGCGGACGGGUGAGUAAUGCCUAGGAAUCUGCCUGGUAGUGGGGGAUAACGUCCGGAAACGGGCGCUAAUACCGCAUACGUCCUGAGGGAGAAAGUGGGGGAUCUUCGGACCUCACGCUAUCAGAUGAGCCUAGGUCGGAUUAGCUAGUUGGUGGGGUAAAGGCCUACCAAGGCGACGAUCCGUAACUGGUCUGAGAGGAUGAUCAGUCACACUGGAACUGAGACACGGUCCAGACUCCUACGGGAGGCAGCAGUGGGGAAUAUUGGACAAUGGGCGAAAGCCUGAUCCAGCCAUGCCGCGUGUGUGAAGAAGGUCUUCGGAUUGUAAAGCACUUUAAGUUGGGAGGAAGGGCAGUAAGUUAAUACCUUGCUGUUUUGACGUUACCAACAGAAUAAGCACCGGCUAACUUCGUG